ACACAUGCAAGUCGAACGGCAGCAUGAUCUAGCUUGCUAGAUUGAUGGCGAGUGGCGAACGGGUGAGUAAUACAUCGGAACGUGCCCUGUAGUGGGGGAUAACUAGUCGAAAGAUUAGCUAAUACCGCAUACGACCUGAGGGUGAAAGUGGGGGACCGCAAGGCCUCAUGCUAUAGGAGCGGCCGAUGUCUGAUUAGCUAGUUGGUGAGGUAAAGGCUCACCAAGGCGACGAUCAGUAGCUGGUCUGAGAGGACGAUCAGCCACACUGGGACUGGGACACGGCCCAGACUCCUACGGGAGGCAGCAGUGGGGAAUUUUGGACAAUGGGGGCAACCCUGAUCCAGCAAUGCCGCGUGUGUGAAGAAGGCCUUCGGGUUGUAAAGCACUUUUGUCCGGAAAGAAAUCGCACUUACUAAUAUUAGGUGUGGAUGACGGUACCGGAAGAAUAAGGACCGGCUAACUACGUGCCAGCAGCCGCGGUAAUACGUAGGGUCCAAGCGUUAAUCGGAAUUACUGGGCGUAAAGCGUGCGCAGGCGGUUGUGCAAGACCGAUGUGAAAUCCCCGGGCUUAACCUGGGAAUUGCAUUGGUGACUGCACGGCUAGAGUGUGUCAGAGGGGGGUAGAAUUCCACGUGUAGCAGUGAAAUGCGUAGAGAUGUGGAGGAAUACCGAUGGCGAUGCAGCCCCCUGGGAUAACACUGACGCUCAUGCACGAANGCGUGGGGAGCAANCAGGAUUAGAUACCCUGGUAGUCCACGCCCUAAACGAUGUCAACUAGUUGUUGGGGAUUCAUUUCCUUAGUAACGUAGCUAACGCGUGAAGUUGACCGCCUGGGGAGUACGGUCGCAAGAUUAAAACUCAAAGGAAUUGACGGGGACCCGCACAAGCGGUGGAUGAUGUGGAUUAAUUCGAUGCAACGCGAAAAACCUUACCUACCCUUGACAUGCCACUAACGAAGCAGAGAUGCAUUAGGUGCUCGAAAGAGAAAGUGGACACAGGUGCUGCAUGGCUGUCGUCAGCUCGUGUCGUGAGAUGUUGGGUUAAGUCCCGCAACGAGCGCAACCCUUGUCUCUAGUUGCUACGAAGGGGCACUCUAGAGAGACUGCCGGCGACAAACCGGAGGAAGGUGGGGAUGACGUCAAGUCCUCAUGGCCCUUAUGGGUAGGGCUUCACACGUCAUACAAUGGUGCAUACAGAGGGUUGCCAAGCCGCGAGGUGGAGCUAAUCCCAGAAAAUGCAUCGUAGUCCGGAUCGUAGUCUGCAACUCGACUACGUGAAGCUGGAAUCGCUAGUAAUCGCGGAUCAGCAUGCCGCGGUGAAUACGUUCCCGGGUCUUGUACACACCGCCCGUCACACCAUGGGAGUGGGUUUUGCCAGAAGUAGUUAGCCUAACCGCAAGGGGGGCGAUUACCACGGCAGGGUUCAUGACUGGGGUGAAGUCGUAACAA
Molecule: ribosomal RNA, 1448 nt
Filed under: uncultured Ralstonia sp.
Lineage: Bacteria; Pseudomonadati; Pseudomonadota; Betaproteobacteria; Burkholderiales; Burkholderiaceae
Description: bacterial SSU rRNA
Rfam family: Bacterial small subunit ribosomal RNA
Source: RNAcentral